UAGACUGAAAGGGGCGGCUCCGCAGAGAUUUGGCCAGGUUAGUGACAGCGAAUUGGUUUGGAGGAACAGCUGCUGUCAGGACAGGCUUCCAGCGAGAUGGGACAUGAAGGGGUUCCAGCCAUGCCGCGUGGUUCCACAGCUGCUGGAGUGACUUAGCAGUUGGCUAGGCAUACCCUGAACUACAGAAGAUGUAUGCUGGGCCAGAAGCAGGCCUUCUUCCUGCAGACUUGGAAGGAGCUGAUGACAAAGGCCUGCCAACAGUGCUGUGACUGCCAGCGCAGUACCAUACAGAGUGGUCUCUGCUGAGCAUCUUGUUCCUCCAGUGGGAAAAGAGAACCCAAAGGGGACAACCACUCCACCUGUCAGCAUUGUGAGUUUCUUUAUAGGAGCCCCUACUCUGAUCUCUCACCAUGGGGAGUGCAUGGGAAUCUUCAGGACUCAACCACUGGGAAUCUGACUGUGAUGGAGAGUGGGGGAGGUUAUAACAACCAGCACAUGAA
This is a long non-coding RNA of Herpailurus yagouaroundi (jaguarundi), 500 nucleotides long. RefSeq lists it as uncharacterized. NCBI's taxonomy places the organism in Eukaryota, Metazoa, Chordata, Mammalia, Carnivora, Felidae. The transcript has 3 exons. The record is from RefSeq and is a predicted model, not a curated record.